CCUACGGGAGGCAGCAGUGGGGAAUUUUGGACAAUGGGCGCAAGCCUGAUCCAGCCAUGCCGCGUGUGGGAAGAAGGCCUUCGGGUUGUAAACCACUUUUGUCAGGGAAGAAACGGCUCUUACUAAUAUUGGGAGCUAAUGACGGUACCUGAAGAAUAAGCACCGGCUAACUACGUGCCAGCAGCCGCGGUAAUACGUAGGGUGCAAGCGUUAAUCGGAAUUACUGGGCGUAAAGCGUGCGCAGGCGGCUUUGCAAGACAGAUGUGAAAUCCCCGGGCUCAACCUGGGAACUGCAUUUGUGACUGCAUGGCUAGAGUACGGUAGAGGGGGAUGGAAUUCCGCGUGUAGCAGUGAAAUGCGUAGAUAUGCGGAGGAACACCGAUGGCGAAGGCAAUCCCCUGGACCUGUACUGACGCUCAUGCACGAAAGCGUGGGGAGCAAACAGGAUUAGAUACCCUGGUAGUCCACGCCCUAAACGAUAUCACUAGUUGUUGGUACGGCGUGUCUGUUCUAGUAACGAAGACGUAACGACGUAGAAGUUAGUACCGCCGUCGGGGAGGGUACGGGCCGGCCGAACGGUUAGGUAAACGUAACGAAAUAAGUAAGUUAGUACGGCGUGAGACGUUAGCCGAACGGACGGACCGACGACGGGGAGGGAGGGAG
RNAcentral lists this ribosomal RNA (663 nucleotides) under uncultured bacterium. RNAcentral's name for it is "bacterial SSU rRNA". The stretch from base 1 to 550 matches the Rfam family "Bacterial small subunit ribosomal RNA", at positions 338 to 873 of the family's 1533-position model. The record is from RNAcentral.